UACGUAGGGGGCAAGCGUUGUCCGGAAUUAUUGGGCGUAAAGAGCUCGUAGGCGGUUUGUCGCGUCUGCUGUGAAAACCUGAGGCUCAACCUCGGGCUUGCAGUGGGUACGGGCAGACUAGAGUGCGGUAGGGGUGACUGGAAUUCCUGGUGUAGCGGUGGAAUGCGCAGAUAUCAGGAGGAACACCGAUGGCGAAGGCAGGUCACUGGGCCGCAACUGACGCUGAGGAGCGAAAGCAUGGGGAGCAAACAGG
Molecule: ribosomal RNA, 253 nt
Filed under: uncultured bacterium
Lineage: Bacteria
Description: partial 16S ribosomal RNA
Rfam family: Bacterial small subunit ribosomal RNA
Source: RNAcentral